Long non-coding RNA from Lonchura striata (white-rumped munia), 131 nucleotides. RefSeq lists it as uncharacterized. Lineage: Eukaryota; Metazoa; Chordata; Aves; Passeriformes; Estrildidae. The record is from RefSeq and is a predicted model, not a curated record.
UCAUAACAGCAACCUUGGACCCCUGCUUCUAUUUAGAUCUGUGCCUCAUGAAAACCCUCGAUCCUCCUUCAGAAAACUAGGAUCUUGGGACAACAUAUUCAUAGGUAUAAUCCAGAUAAAAAUCUCCUGCA